CCUACGGGAGGCAGCAGUGGGGAAUUUUGCACAAUGGGGGAAACCCUGAUGCAGCAACGCCGCGUGGAGGAUGAAGUCCCUUGGGACGUAAACUCCUUUCGACCGGGACGAUAAUGACGGUACCGUAAGAAGAAGCCCCGGCUAACUCCGUGCCAGCAGCCGCGGU
This 166-nucleotide ribosomal RNA is filed under the name uncultured bacterium. Its description in RNAcentral is "partial 16S ribosomal RNA". It matches the Rfam family "Bacterial small subunit ribosomal RNA", at positions 338 to 521 of the family's 1533-position model. The record is from RNAcentral.